This 418-nucleotide unclassified non-coding RNA is filed under the name soil metagenome. RNAcentral describes it as "partial contains 5.8S ribosomal RNA, internal transcribed spacer 2, and large subunit ribosomal RNA". The stretch from base 1 to 120 matches the Rfam family "5.8S ribosomal RNA", at positions 35 to 154 of the family's 154-position model. The record is from RNAcentral.
GAUGAAGAACGUAGCGAAAUGAGAUAAGUAAUGUGAAUUGCAGAAUUCAGUGAAUCAUCGAAUCUUUGAACGCAUCUUGCGCUCCUUGGUAUUCCUUGGAGCAUGCCUGUUUGAGUAUCAUGAGCAAAUCUCAAAGUCAAUUCCUUUUGUUGAUUCAAUUGGUUUUGCUUUGGACUUGGAGGCCUUGCAGAUUUCACAGUCUGCUCCUCUUAAAUGCAUUAGCUGGAUCUCAGUAAUUAUGCUUGGUUCCACUCGGCGUGAUAAGUAUCACUCGCUGAGGACACUGUUAAAAAGGUGGCCAGGAAAAUACUGAUUGAACCGCUUCUAACGGUCUAUUAAGUUAGACAAUUACCCUUAAGUUUGAUCUCAAAUCAGGGAGGACUACCCGCUGAACUUAAGCAUAUCAAUAAGCGGAGGA